This 31-nucleotide non-coding RNA is filed under the name Rattus norvegicus (Norway rat). Lineage: Eukaryota; Metazoa; Chordata; Mammalia; Rodentia; Muridae. The record is from RNAcentral.
UGCCACUUGAUCUUAGGAUUCUCUGACAUUC